RNAcentral lists this ribosomal RNA (252 nucleotides) under uncultured Bacteroidales bacterium. RNAcentral describes it as "partial 16S ribosomal RNA". It matches the Rfam family "Bacterial small subunit ribosomal RNA", at positions 524 to 776 of the family's 1533-position model. Lineage: Bacteria; Pseudomonadati; Bacteroidota; Bacteroidia; Bacteroidales. The record is from RNAcentral.
UACGGAGGAUGCGAGCGUUAUCCGGAUUUAUUGGGUUUAAAGGGUGCGUAGGCGGCGAGUUAAGUCAGCGGUAAAAGCCCGGGGCUCAACCCCGGCCCGCCGUUGAAACCGGAGCGCUAGAAUUCCGAUGCCGUCGGAGGAAUGUGUGGUGUAGCGGUGAAAUGCAUAGAUAUCACACAGAACACCGAUUGCGAAGGCAUCUCACGAAUCCGCGAUUGACGCUGAUGCACGAAAGCGUGGGUAUCAAACAGG